This 333-nucleotide ribosomal RNA is filed under the name uncultured soil bacterium. RNAcentral describes it as "bacterial SSU rRNA". It matches the Rfam family "Bacterial small subunit ribosomal RNA", at positions 26 to 355 of the family's 1533-position model. The record is from RNAcentral.
AGAGUGAACGCUGGCGGCAGGCCUAACACAUGCAAGUCGAACGGCAGCACAGUAAGAGCUUGCUCUUAUGGGUGGCGAGUGGCGGACGGGUGAGGAAUACAUCGGAAUCUGCCUAUUUGUGGGGGAUAAACGUAGGGAAACUUACGCUAAUACCGCAUACGACCUACGGGUGAAAGCGGAGGACCUUCGGGCUUCGCGCAGAUAGAUGAGCCGAUGUCGGAUUAGCUAGUUGGUGGGUAAAGGCCCACCAAGGCGACGAUCCGUAGCUGGUCUGAGAGGAUGAUCAGCCACACUGGAACUGAGACACGGUCCAGACUCCUAGGGAGCAGCAGU